ACGAACCGUGCAAACGUUAUUCGGAAUCACUGGGCUUAAAGGGCGCGUAGGCGGGUGAUCAAGUCAAUGGUGAAAUCCUCCAGCUUAACUGGAGAAGUGCCUUUGAUACUGAUUGUCUAGAGGGAGGUAGGGGCAUGUGGAACUUCAGGUGGAGCGGUGAAAUGCGUAGAUAUCUGAAGGAACGCCAGUGGCGAAAGCGAUGUGCUGGACCUCUUCUGACGCUGAGGCGCGAAAGCUAGGGGAUCAAACGGG
This 252-nucleotide ribosomal RNA is filed under the name uncultured bacterium. Its description in RNAcentral is "partial 16S ribosomal RNA". It matches the Rfam family "Bacterial small subunit ribosomal RNA", at positions 525 to 776 of the family's 1533-position model. The record is from RNAcentral.